RNAcentral lists this unclassified non-coding RNA (1744 nucleotides) under Haliotis rufescens (red abalone). Its description in RNAcentral is "asparagine--tRNA ligase, cytoplasmic-like, transcript variant X2". The record is from RNAcentral. Lineage: Eukaryota; Metazoa; Mollusca; Gastropoda; Lepetellida; Haliotidae.
AUAGCUCAGGUUCCUGAAUAACACAGUGUCGCUCUCAACUAAGAGAAACUGCCUUUCCCGUGAACUGUUAACUGCACAGGCUUGUCUGAUGCAAUCGGUAAUAUUAAAACUAGACGACGUGUGAGUGGGACGGCUGUUUUGCAGUCAACUUCAGGCGAGUCGACACGACCAUGAGCACCGGAGACAUCUACACGUCAGAGAAGAGGGGGGACGACAAAGGAGGGGAUGGUACAAAGGAGACGCCCUUCAAGACAGUUCUCCAGGCUAUGCGCCAUGUCGGAGGAGAGCCGUUCCCCACGAUACACGUGGACGCGCGAGACGAGACGAGAUCGACUGAGGCUUAUGACGUCAUUUCCAAGUCUCAGUACAAAAAGUGUUUGAAACUUUGGCAGAAGGAGCAAAGCAGCGCAGAAAGGAGAUCGACCAAAGAGGCGGAGGACGCAUUGCGGACGGAGAGGAACCUGGCAGAAGCCAGAAAGGUGACAAUAAAAUUGGAUGCCAGUCUUCCAAAGCCGAAACAAAUACGGAUAAGGGAGGCUACUCAAAACCGCAAUAAAAGGGUCAAGGUUCAAGGAUGGGUACAUCGCUUGAGAAGGCAAGGAAAGAACUUGAUGUUUGUGGUGUUGCGGGAUGGAAGUGGGUUCUUGCAGUGCGUGCUACAUGACGUACAGUGUCAGACCUACGAGGCAUUGACUUUGGCGACAGAGGCUACCGUUGCUGUGUACGGCGUCAUCAAAGAGUUGCCACCUGGAAAGACUGCACCUGACAGCCAUGAACUGGAUGCAGACUAUUGGGAGCUGAUUGGAACAUCCCCGGCAGGGGGCGCUGACAACCUACUGAAUGAGGAGGCCCACGUGGACGUACAGCUGGACAACAGGCAUAUGAUGCUGAGGGGGGAAAACACGUCUCGGGUGAUGAAGAUGCGCUCUAUCAUCAUGCAGUGUUUCAGGGACCACUACCAAGAUCGGGGCUACUUUGAGGUGACUCCCCCGACCCUGGUACAGACGCAGGUGGAAGGAGGGUCGACGCUUUUCAAGAUCCCCUACUUCGGGGAGGAGGCUUACCUGACCCAGAGUUCCCAGUUAUACCUGGAGACAUGUCUGCCAUCUCUCGGGGACGUCUUCUGUAUCGCCCAGUCCUACAGGGCAGAGAACUCCAAGACAAGACGCCACCUAGCGGAAUACACACACAUAGAGGGUGAAUGUUCCUUUAUCGACUUCGAUGGCUUGCUUGACCGACUGGAAGACUUGGUGUGCGAUGUCGUGGACAGAGUGAUGAAGGGCCCUCACGGUCAGAUUGUAUACGAACUGAACCCAGACUUCAAGCCGCCAAAGAAGCCAUUCCGGAGAAUGCAGUACACUGAGGCUCUGACGUACCUCAAGGAACACGACACCAAGAAGGAAGACGGCAGCUUCUAUGAGUUCGGAGAUGUACGUAACACACAUCAUUGCGUUCAUCUUCGUCUGAAAGCAAUCAGCAUAUUUCAAGAAAGGAUAUCCCAGAAGCACCCGAGAGGAAGAUGACUGACCAGAUUAACGAGCCCAUCUUCCUGUGUCGCUUCCCAGCUGAGAUAAAAUCCUUCUACAUGCUGCGAAGCCAGGGCGACCACAGACUCACAGACUCGGUUGACCUCCUGAUGCCCAAUGUAGGGGAGAUAAUCGGUGGGUCCAUGAGGAUAUCCGGUCAGGAUGAGCUGGAGGCUGGGUUCAAGAGAGAGGGCAUUGACGUCACGCCCUACUACUGG